RNAcentral lists this transfer RNA (85 nucleotides) under Candidatus Angelobacter sp. Gp1-AA117. RNAcentral describes it as "Acidobacteriia bacterium AA117 tRNA-Leu". It matches the Rfam family "tRNA". From Rfam's summary of the family: Transfer RNA (tRNA) molecules are approximately 80 nucleotides in length. Their secondary structure includes four short double-helical elements and three loops (D, anti-codon, and T loops). Lineage: Bacteria; Pseudomonadati; Acidobacteriota; Terriglobia. RNAcentral also lists the same sequence under 3 other names. The record is from RNAcentral.
GCGAGAGUGGCGGAAUUGGCAGACGCACCAGACUUAGGAUCUGGCGCCGCAAGGCGUGGGGGUUCGAGUCCCCCCUUUCGCACCA